This 253-nucleotide ribosomal RNA is filed under the name uncultured bacterium. RNAcentral describes it as "partial 16S ribosomal RNA". It matches the Rfam family "Bacterial small subunit ribosomal RNA", at positions 524 to 776 of the family's 1533-position model. The record is from RNAcentral.
GACGUAGGGCGCGAGCGUUGUCCGGAUUUAUUGGGCGUAAAGAGCGUGUAGGCGGCCAGACAGGUCCGUUGUGAAAACUAGAGGCUUAACCUCUAGACGUCGAUGGAAACCGUCUGGCUAGAGUCCGGAAGAGGAGAAUGGAAUUCCUGGUGUAGCGGUGAAAUGCGCAGAUAUCAGGAAGAACACCCGUGGCUAAGGCGGUUCUCUAGUACGGUACUGACGCUGAGACGCGAAAGCGUGGGGAGCGAACAGG